GAUGAACGCUGGCGGCGUGCCUAAUACAUGCAAGUCGAGCGAACAGACGAGGAGCUUGCUCCUCUGACGUUAGCGGCGGACGGGUGAGUAACACGUGGAUAACCUACCUAUAAGACUGGGAUAACUUCGGGAAACCGGAGCUAAUACCGGAUAAUAUAUUGAACCGCAUGGUUCAAUAGUGAAAGACGGUUUUGCUGUCACUUAUAGAUGGAUCCGCGCCGCAUUAGCUAGUUGGUAAGGUAACGGCUUACCAAGGCGACGAUGCGUAGCCGACCUGAGAGGGUGAUCGGCCACACUGAAACUGAGACACGGUCCAGACUCCUAAGGGAGGCAGCAGUAGGGAAUCUUCCGCAAUGGGCGAAAACCUGCCGGAGCAACGCCGCGUGAGUGAUGAAGGUGUUCGGAUCGUAAAACUCUGUUAUUAGGGAAGAACAAAUGUGUAAGUAACUAUGCACGUCUUGACGGUACCUAAUCAGAAAGCCACGGCUAACUACGUG
Molecule: ribosomal RNA, 497 nt
Filed under: uncultured bacterium
Lineage: Bacteria
Description: partial 16S ribosomal RNA
Rfam family: Bacterial small subunit ribosomal RNA
Source: RNAcentral